This 1779-nucleotide ribosomal RNA is filed under the name Klebsiella pneumoniae. RNAcentral describes it as "bacterial LSU rRNA". It matches the Rfam family "Bacterial large subunit ribosomal RNA", at positions 1167 to 2925 of the family's 2925-position model. The record is from RNAcentral. Lineage: Bacteria; Pseudomonadati; Pseudomonadota; Gammaproteobacteria; Enterobacterales; Enterobacteriaceae.
AAGAUGUAACGGGGCUAAACCAUGCACCGAAGCUGCGGCAGCGACACUAUGUGUUGUUGGGUAGGGGAGCGUUCUGUAAGCCUGCGAAGGUGUGCUGUGAGGCAUGCUGGAGGUAUCAGAAGUGCGAAUGCUGACAUAAGUAACGAUAAAGCGGGUGAAAAGCCCGCUCGCCGGAAGACCAAGGGUUCCUGUCCAACGUUAAUCGGGGCAGGGUGAGUCGACCCCUAAGGCGAGGCCGAAAGGCGUAGUCGAUGGGAAACAGGUUAAUAUUCCUGUACUUGGUGUUACUGCGAAGGGGGGACGGAGAAGGCUAUGUUAGCCGGGCGACGGUUGUCCCGGUUUAAGCAUGUAGGCUGAUUGUCCAGGCAAAUCCGGAUAAUCAAGGCUGAGGUGUGAUGACGAGGCACUACGGUGCUGAAGUAACAAAUGCCCUGCUUCCAGGAAAAGCCUCUAAGCAUCAGGUAACAUUAAAUCGUACCCCAAACCGACACAGGUGGUCAGGUAGAGAAUACCAAGGCGCUUGAGAGAACUCGGGUGAAGGAACUAGGCAAAAUGGUGCCGUAACUUCGGGAGAAGGCACGCUGGUGUGUAGGUGAAGUCCCUGCGGAUGGAGCUGAGACCAGUCGAAGAUACCAGCUGGCUGCAACUGUUUAUUAAAAACACAGCACUGUGCAAACACGAAAGUGGACGUAUACGGUGUGACGCCUGCCCGGUGCCGGAAGGUUAAUUGAUGGGGUUAUCCGUAAGGAGAAGCUCUUGAUCGAAGCCCCGGUAAACGGCGGCCGUAACUAUAACGGUCCUAAGGUAGCGAAAUUCCUUGUCGGGUAAGUUCCGACCUGCACGAAUGGCGUAAUGAUGGCCAGGCUGUCUCCACCCGAGACUCAGUGAAAUUGAACUCGCUGUGAAGAUGCAGUGUACCCGCGGCAAGACGGAAAGACCCCGUGAACCUUUACUAUAGCUUGACACUGAACAUUGAGCCUUGAUGUGUAGGAUAGGUGGGAGGCUUUGAAGCGUGGACGCCAGUCUGCGUGGAGCCAACCUUGAAAUACCACCCUUUAAUGUUUGAUGUUCUAACGUUGGCCCCUGACCGGGGUUGCGGACAGUGUCUGGUGGGUAGUUUGACUGGGGCGGUCUCCUCCCAAAGCGUAACGGAGGAGCACGAAGGUUAGCUAAUCCUGGUCGGACAUCAGGAGGUUAGUGCAAUGGCAUAAGCUAGCUUGACUGCGAGCGUGACGGCGCGAGCAGGUGCGAAAGCAGGUCAUAGUGAUCCGGUGGUUCUGAAUGGAAGGGCCAUCGCUCAACGGAUAAAAGGUACUCCGGGGAUAACAGGCUGAUACCGCCCAAGAGUUCAUAUCGACGGCGGUGUUUGGCACCUCGAUGUCGGCUCAUCACAUCCUGGGGCUGAAGUAGGUCCCAAGGGUAUGGCUGUUCGCCAUUUAAAGUGGUACGCGAGCUGGGUUUAGAACGUCGUGAGACAGUUCGGUCCCUAUCUGCCGUGGGCGCUGGAGAAUUGAGGGGGGCUGCUCCUAGUACGAGAGGACCGGAGUGGACGCAUCACUGGUGUUCGGGUUGUCAUGCCAAUGGCACUGCCCGGUAGCUAAAUGCGGAAGAGAUAAGUGCUGAAAGCAUCUAAGCACGAAACUUGCCCCGAGAUGAGUUCUCCCUGAGACUUUAAGUCUCCUGAAGGAACGUUAAAGACGAUGACGUUGAUAGGCCGGGUGUGUAAGCGCAGCGAUGCGUUGAGCUAACCGGUACUAAUGAACCGUGAGGCUUAACCUU